CAUAGUACAAGACGCGACGCACAACAGCUAUGUUGGCUUUAGUUCGGAUUUGAAAAAAGACUAGAACAGCAUAAUGCAGGCGUCGGAGCCAAGCGUACACGCAAAGGCGGAUGGCGAUUGGCGUACUAUGAAGCGUUUAUGAACGAAAGCGAAGCCCGAACGCGUGAACGGCGAUUGAAGCAGGACGGACGGGCCAAGCAUCAGUUGUUCAAGCGAAUCGAGAAGUCUCUUGCUGGCCAAAAAUAGGUGCGGGGGGUUGUGGGCGUCGAUCAGGAGUUACAAAGGCACCACCAGUCGAACGGUCUGGAAAGUCCGACCAUAGAAGGUGAUAGUCCUGUAGGCGACGGUGUGUGCCCUCCGUUACGGUCGACGUACCAGAGUAGCACGGAGCUCGUGGAACUCCGUGUGAAGCAGGGGGGACCACCCUCCAAGGCUAAGUACUCCUCGGCAACCGAUAGUGAAGUAGUAGAGCGAUCGAACGAUGAAAACAACCCCUACUAGGGGAGUGAAAAGGAGCUGAAACCAUACACCUACAAGCUGUGGGAGCCCUAUGGCGGGUCUUCGGGCCCGCAACGGGUGACCGCGUGCCUUUCGCAUAAUGAGCCGGCGAGUUACUCUUUGUGGCAAGGUUAAGCACUUCAGGUGCGGAGCCGUAGCGAAAGCGAGUCUGAACAGGGCGAUCCAGUCGCAGGGAGUAGACGCGAAACCAGGUGAUCUACCCAUGGCCAGGUGGAAGGGGAUGUAAUAAUCCCUGGACGACCGAACCCACUAACGUUGAAAAGUUAGGGGAUGAGCUGUGGGGAGGAGUAAAAGUCUAAUCAAACCUGGAGAUAUCUCGUUCUCUCCGAAAUAGCUUUAGGGCUAGCCUCGGGAUUUUGCGAUGCGGGGGUAGAGCUACUGAUUGGGGAUGGGGGGCUACCCGCCUACCCACUCCUACCAAACUCCGAAUACCGUAUCGUGGACCCCGGGAGUCAAACCGCGGGUGAUAACAUUCGUGGUUAAGAGGGAAACAACCCAGACCGUCGGCUAAGGCCCCGAAUUCCUGCUGAGUUACUAAGGAAGUCUGACUGCCGUGACAAUCAGGAUGUUGGCUUAGAAGCAGCCACCAUUUAAAAAGUGCGUAAUAGCUUACUGAUCGAGCAGUUGGGUGCCGAUAAUGACCGGGAAUAAGCAGGAAGCCGAAGCCGCGGCUCAACACGUACUUCCAUCCUGUCUCGCCCACGGCGCGGUGCGCGCGGUCGGCGGGAUGCGAUGGAGGUACGGGUUGGGGGUAGGAGAGCGUAGCCGUCAGCGGCGAAGCGGUACGGAAACGAGCCGUGGAGCGGCGGCUAGUGAUUAUGCCGGCAUGAGUAACGAUAAAGCAGGUGAGAAUCCUGCUCGCCGAAAGCCUAAGGUUUCCUGGGGAAGGGAAAUCCGCCCAGGGUUAGUCGGCCCCUUAGUCGAGGCUGAAAGGCGUAGACGAUGGACAGCAGGUUAAUAUUCCUGCACCAUGUGGGGAAGGUUUGGACCGGGGGAGUGACGCAGUGACAAAGGUUGGAAGCUGAUUAGUCGUGGCUAUUGUGCCGGAGGUCCCGCGGGUAGGCAAAUCCGCCCGCAUUCAGGGAUCGAAGGACCGCGAGGGGCAAUUAUGAUCCCCGAGCAACCAGCGUUGCUGCCGAGAAAAGCUUCAACCGGGACGACUCCGCGUGACCGUACUAAAACCGACACAGGUAGGUGAGGAGAAUAUCCUCAGGCGCUCGAGAGAACCGUCCUUAAGGAACUCGGCAAUUUGACCCCGUAAGUUCGCGAUAAGGGGGCCCUCCAGCACCAUCUAUUCCAAUAGGGGGUGGCUGAGGGCGCAGGAAAGUGGCUCUGGCGACUGUUUACCAAAAACACAGUUCUCUGCUAACACGUACAGUGGACGUAUAGAGAAUGACGCCUGCUCGGUGCCGGAAGGUUAAAGGGAUGGGUCAUUGUCUCUUCGGAGAUGAGAAGCUCCUAACUGAAGCCCCGGUAAACGGCGGCCGUAACUAUGACGGUCCUAAGGUAGCGAAGUUCCUUGUCGGGU
This 2047-nucleotide ribosomal RNA is filed under the name sediment metagenome. Its description in RNAcentral is "bacterial LSU rRNA". It matches the Rfam family "Bacterial large subunit ribosomal RNA", at positions 1 to 1977 of the family's 2925-position model. The record is from RNAcentral.